Long non-coding RNA from Cygnus olor (mute swan), 524 nucleotides. RefSeq lists it as uncharacterized. NCBI's taxonomy places the organism in Eukaryota, Metazoa, Chordata, Aves, Anseriformes, Anatidae. The transcript has 3 exons. The record is from RefSeq and is a predicted model, not a curated record.
CAUAAGAUCCACCGGGAUAGAAGGAAGACCCUCCCUGCAGAGGAAAACAUCAGGAGUUACUGUUUUAUAUCUAAAGUGUUCUCUCAAGAAAGAUUCUUAGGGUUCUCGCAUGCAGGUACAAUGACCAGAAUGUGUACCUGGUUACCAGAAUAAGAGCCAUGGAAAGAACCUGGGGCUCCCUAAAAGGAAAACACAGAUCAGCUAGUUUCUUGCAGCCAAGGACAAAAAACCUGCCUACCACAGCAAUGUGUUUAAAUGUUAAUCUUAGGCAUUGCUACUGCCAUACGUAGAGGAUCUACCCUGGACAGAAAAUGAAAAUAAGUCAAGCAUAAAUAAGUUGAAUUGGAACCAGGAUGAAAACUACCAGUCUCACACCACAGGAGUCACUUUCUGAGCCUAUCUUGUUCUAUGGAAAUUAAAUGGAGCAACAUCCAAAAGUCACUCCCAAACAAAGACUGUUUGCUCAGCAGAUGAAUGCCCACUGUGACAGACAGAAAAUUUGUAAGUCUUCUGUUCUUAACAGU